UGGGCUUGACAUGUCCGGAAACCUGCAGAGAUGCGGGAGUGCCCUUCGGGGAAUCGGAACA
Molecule: ribosomal RNA, 61 nt
Filed under: uncultured organism
Description: partial 16S ribosomal RNA
Source: RNAcentral